This 625-nucleotide long non-coding RNA is filed under the name Nicotiana tabacum (common tobacco). RNAcentral's name for it is "long non-coding RNA (NTAB_LNC013761)". The record is from RNAcentral. Lineage: Eukaryota; Viridiplantae; Streptophyta; Magnoliopsida; Solanales; Solanaceae.
GCAUUAGGGUUCUAAACCCUAAACUGAGCUUUUCCAUGCAGUCAGCAUUAGGGUUUUAAACCCUAAACUGAAUUUUCCCUUUAGUCAGCAUUAGGGUUUUAAACCAUAAACUGAACUUUUUCCAUUCAGCCAGCAUUAGGGUUUUAAACCCUAAACUGAGCUUUUCCAUGCAAUCAGCAUUAGGGUUUUAAACCCUAAACUGAAUUUUUCCUUUUAGUCAGCAUUAGGGUUUUAAACCCUAAACUGAAUUUUCCCUUUUAGUCAGCAUUAGGGUUUUAAACCCUAAACUGAACUUUUUCAUUCAGCCAGCAUUAGGGUUUUAAACCCUAAACUGAGCUUUUUCCUUUAGUCAGCAUUAGGGUUUUAAACCCUAAACUGAACUUUUUCCAUUCAGCCAGCAUUAGGGUUUUAAACCCUAAACUGAGCUUUUCCAUGCAGUCAGCAUUAGGGUUUUAAACCCUAAACUGAAUUUUCCCUUUAGUCAGCAUUAGGGUUUUAAACUCUAAACUGAACUUUUUCCAUUCAGCCAUCAUUAGGGUUUUAAACCCUAAACUGAGCUUUUCCAUGCAAUCAGCAUUAGGGUUUUAAACCCUAAACUGAAUUUUUUCUUUAGUCAGCAUUAGGG